AAGGAAACGGCAACCCACUCCAGUGUUCUUGCCUGGAGAAUCCCAUGGACGGAGGGGCCUGGUGGGCUACAGUCUAUGGGGUUGCAAAGAGUCGGACAUGACUGAGCGACUAACACACACGUGUGGAUCCGAAGUGGCAAGGACUUCUCUGUGGCACCGUUACUGAUACUCUGAAGGUUUAUGACCUGUGGGUUCCAUACACUACACCGAGGCACCACCAGCUCUGCCAAAGUGUCUUUCCCAUUCCUGGAAGGCUGCUUGGAAAGGAGGGCAUUGUAGGAAACACAGCAGCCUGUACUUCCGGAGUUUUGUUUCUAUGAAGAAGGUCAAGGUCAGUUUCUGGCUGUAAAAUGUAGAAGCUGACCUACAAACCAAGAGGAAGUACCAGCUCUCCAAUUGGUGCAGGUACUAUUAUAAGAAUUGAGUCUACAUUGAUGAACACAACCAACAGGGGGCCCCUAUUUGGGCUUUUACUAUUCUGUAGAGGAGUUUUACUUUGCCUAUAAAGGUCAGUAUAGUCAAAGUUAUGGUUUUCCCAGUAGUUAUGUAUGGACGUGAGAGCUGGACAAUAAAAAAGGCUGAGCGCUGAAGAAUUGAUACCUUUGAGCUGUG
Molecule: long non-coding RNA, 612 nt
Organism: Bubalus bubalis (water buffalo)
Lineage: Eukaryota; Metazoa; Chordata; Mammalia; Artiodactyla; Bovidae
Exons: 3
Source: RefSeq, a predicted model, not a curated record